This 88-nucleotide transfer RNA is filed under the name Pelagicoccus sp. SDUM812003. Its description in RNAcentral is "tRNA-Ile". Lineage: Bacteria; Pseudomonadati; Verrucomicrobiota; Opitutia; Puniceicoccales; Pelagicoccaceae. The record is from RNAcentral.
AGGCUUGUAAUCCUAGAGACGGAACUUGUAACGAAUCGGCCAACUCAUAAUCCAUUGGUCCUCGGUUCGAGUCCGAGCGGGCCUACCA